This 296-nucleotide ribosomal RNA is filed under the name uncultured bacterium. Its description in RNAcentral is "partial 16S ribosomal RNA". It matches the Rfam family "Bacterial small subunit ribosomal RNA", at positions 337 to 631 of the family's 1533-position model. The record is from RNAcentral.
UCCUACGGGGGGCAGCAGUGAGGAAUAUUGGUCAAUGGACGCGAUUCUGAACCAGCCAUGCCGCGUGCAGGAUGACGGCUCUAUGAGUUGUAAACUUCUUUUGUACGAGAGUAAACCCCGAUACGUGUAUCGGGCUGAAAGUAUCGUACGAAUAAGGAUCGGCUAACUCCGUGCCAGCAGCCGCGGUAAUACGGAGGAUCCGAGCGUUAUCCGGAUUUAUUGGGUUUAAAGGGUGCGUAGGCGGUCUGUUAAGUCAGCGGUGAAAUUGCGGGGCUCAACCCCGUAACUGCGUCGAA